GACGAACGCUGGCGGCGUGCCUAAUACAUGCAAGUAGAACGCACAGUUUAUACCGUAGCUUGCUACACCAUAGACUGUGAGUUGCGAACGGGUGAGUAACCCGUAGGUAACCUGCCUGGUAGCGGGGGAUAACUAUUGGAAACGAUAGCUAAUACCGCAUAUUAUUGAUUAUUGCAUGAUAAUUGAUUGAAAGAUGCUAUUGCAUCACUACUAUAUGGUCCUGCGUUGUAUUAGCUAGUAGGUGAGGUAACGGCUCACCUAGGCGACGAUACAUAGCCGACCUGAGAAGGUGAUUGGCCAAACUGGGAACGGGACCAGGCACAGACUCCUUCGGGAGGGAACCGUAGGGGAACUUCGGCAAUAGGCGGAAGGCUUACCGCACAAAGCCGCGUGAGGUAAGAAGGUCUUCGGAUCGGAAAGGUCUGUUUUAAGAGAAGAAAGGGCGUGAGAGUGGAAAGUUCACACUGUGACGGUAUCUUACCAGAAAGCACCGGCUAACUACGUG
This 505-nucleotide ribosomal RNA is filed under the name uncultured bacterium. RNAcentral describes it as "partial 16S ribosomal RNA". It matches the Rfam family "Bacterial small subunit ribosomal RNA", at positions 28 to 507 of the family's 1533-position model. The record is from RNAcentral.